Molecule: long non-coding RNA, 1966 nt
Filed under: Monodelphis domestica (gray short-tailed opossum)
Lineage: Eukaryota; Metazoa; Chordata; Mammalia; Didelphimorphia; Didelphidae
Description: lncRNA (ENSMODG00000041551.1)
Source: RNAcentral
AUGGACCUCGGAAGGGGCCGGCUCCCCCCCACGGAACUCGGAAGGGGCCGGCUCCCCCCCAGGGAACUUAGAAGGGGCCGGCUCCCCCCCCCCAUGGACCUCAGAAGGGGCCGGCUCCCCCCCACGGAACUUAGAAGGGGACGGCUCCCCCCCCCCAUGGACCUCAGAAGGGGCAGGCUCCCCCCAUGGACCUCGGAAGGGGCCGGCCACGGACCUCAGAAGGGGCCAGCUCCCCCCCACGGACCUCGGAAGGGGCCGGCUCCCUCCUAUGGACCUCAGAAGGGGCCGGCUCCCCCCCACGAACCUCGGAAGGGGCCGGCUCCCUCCUAUGGACCUCAGAAGGGGCCGGCUCCCCCCCCACGGACCUCAGAAGGGGCCGGCUCCCCCCCACGGACCUCGGAAGGGGCCGGCUCCCCCCACGGACCUCGGAAGGGGCCAGCUCCCCCACACGGACCUCGGAAGGGGCCGGCUCCCUCCUAUGGACCUCAGAAGGGGCCGGCUCCCCCCCACGAACCUCGGAAGGGGCCGGCUCCCUCCUAUGGACCUCAGAAGGGGCCGGCUCCCCCCCCACGGACCUCGGAAGGGGCCGGCUCCCUCCUAUGGACCUCAGAAGGGGCCGGCUCCCCCCCACGAACCUUGGAAGGGGCCGGCUCCCUCCUAUGGACCUCAGAAGGGGCCGGCUCCCCCCCCACGGACCUCAGAAGGGGCCGGCUCCCCCCCACGGACCUCGGAAGGGGCCGGCUCCCCCCACAGACCUCGGAAGGGGCCGGCUCCCCCCCCCAUGGACCUCGGAAGGGGCCGGCUCCCCCCACGGACCUCGGAAGGGGCCGGCUCCCCCCCACGGACCUCGGAAGGGGCCGGCUCCCUCCUGGGGAUGUCCAUGCCAAGGCUCCUGGGCUCCUCGGCGUUUCCCGUCACCACCCUUCUUACGGGUGUUCUUUCUCUGGCCACGACCCACAGCCUUGAGUUGGGAAGCAGCCGUUUCUGCCGUCCUUUCUUAACGACGACGGGAGGUGUUUGGUCCAGAUUUUGGAAUGCAGUCUAUUUUUUGUAUAAAUAUUGGGCUAUUUAAGGCCAGAAGAGUUUUCCUCGCAGCAGUCCUGUGAGGCAGGUUUGGCCAGGAUUCGCUUCUCCGCCUCGUGACCGCAGAGCUGGUCCGCUCCGGGCAGAAGCGGAGCAGACAGACGGCGUCCCGGGUUGGGGCCUCCGUGCGCCUCGGUCUUGCUGGGUCCUCCUCCCCUGACUCCCUCUCUGGGCCCUGCUUCCUGUUUCUCCAGAGGGCCCUUCUUUGCUGCUGCUGUUGGCCAAGGAGGGCGCUCUGGGGCCCGCCACGCUUCGUGGGGAGCCUUGGACAUUGCUCUGCCGCUCCUGCCUCGGCCCCGGGGCCGCAGAACUCCCCAGGGGAGCGGAACCGACCGGAAGCCCAGGGAAGCGCCUGACAAAAGAAACGAGUCCGGGACCACCUGCAGGAGGCUCGUUGGCUGUUUUCCGAGUCGCUCUGCAGCCCCCGCGGCCCGGUGGGUAUUGGAGGUGGCCACCCCGAGGGGCUAACGAGGCUCAGCGGUGGAGGGAAGGGAUGGGGAGGUCACGGCCUCCUGCCGGUCAGAGCCUCCUCUGGGAAAUGGGGCUGGGCCUGCCUGGAGGGAGCGGCCAGCCUUGGUGAGCCUCGCGUUGGUCGCUAUUAUUUCCUGGCUCUACGUAGCCAUAGUUUAGAGCCUUCGAAUCCAGGACAUUUAUUCGGCUAUCCCCCUUUGCAGAGCUGCUGCUGCCUUCCUCACGGAAGUGUUCUGAACAAUAACAGCAGAUGUGGAGAGAGCGACUCACAACAGCCUGCGGAGGGGGAUGCUCCUGGGAUCUCCAUUUUGCAAGUGAGGAAACUGAGGCAAGCAGCAGCAAAAUGACAAGGAUGUAUCGGGGGCCAGGCCUGGAAUCGGGGCUCCCCGACUCUUGGCCCCCCCGGCUGUCU